UGUGUUCCUUGUCCGUUGCCUAUCACCUGAAUCAAAGAGAC
Molecule: small RNA, 41 nt
Filed under: Arabidopsis thaliana (thale cress)
Lineage: Eukaryota; Viridiplantae; Streptophyta; Magnoliopsida; Brassicales; Brassicaceae
Description: ATSL076130
Source: RNAcentral